UACCAGCACCCCGAGUGGUCGGGACGAUUAUUGGGCCUAAAGCAUCCGUAGCCGGUUCUUUAAGUCCUCCGUUAAAUCCACCUGCUUAACAGAUGGGCUGCGGAGGAUACUAUAGAGCUAGGAGGCGGGAGAGGCAAGCGGUACUCAGUGGGUAGGGGUAAAAUCCGUUGAUCCAUUGAAGACCACCAGUGGCGAAGGCGGCUUGCCAGAACGCACUCGACGGUGAGGAAUGAAAGCUGGGGGAGCAAACCGG
This 253-nucleotide ribosomal RNA is filed under the name uncultured bacterium. RNAcentral describes it as "partial 16S ribosomal RNA". It matches the Rfam family "Archaeal small subunit ribosomal RNA", at positions 474 to 727 of the family's 1478-position model. The record is from RNAcentral.